GCUUUCCCCAUCUCCUAGUUUAACAACUGCUCUGCAACCUUUGUAAUGUUAAGUGCCAGCAGUCUGGUUCCACUUUGGUUUAGGUGGAGCCCAUCCUUCCUGUAUAGGCUCCCCCAUCCCCAAAGUUUCCCCAAUUCCUAAUGAGUCUAAACCUCUCCUCUCUACACCAUUGUCUCAUCCACGCAGUGAGACUCUGAAGCUCUGCCUGCCUACCUGGCCCUGCGUGUGGAACUGGGAGCAUUUCUGAGAAUGCUAUCAUAGGGGUCCUGGAUUUCAGUCUCUUCCCUAGCAGCCUAAAUUUGGCCUUCCAGGACAUCUCUCCUACCCUUCCCCAUGUCACUGAUGCCUACAUGUACCACGAUCACUGGCUCCACCCCAGCACUACAUCCUCCAGGUAGAGAUGAGGGCACUAGCUCUGAGCCAUCUCAGCGUAGUGUAAAUCCCACAGUUACUCCUGGUUUACACUCAUAACGUCCAGCAGAAUUUGGCCCAGUAUUGUCCUGCACUUGGGAGAGAAGACAGAUCACCAGAAAUAACCAGCCACCACUACAGACAAUUAUUUGGUUUAUUGCUGUUGGAAGAAAUUUCCAGACACUGUUGAGUCAGUGCUCUGAAAGAGAUCCUUGGGGUGAGGACCACCUAAGGCUCCCUCAUUAAAGCAGCUACAACACGGUAAGUAAGUCCCUCCAUCCCAUCAACUCCUGCCAGAGACAUAGCAGCAUUCAACUCAAUGUAGAAAGAGCUCUGCAUUACACUUUGAUUAUAGCAUUUUAUUCUUAAGUGCCUAAGUUACAUAAAAACAUGCCUCAGCUAACAAUGCAGCAUCUUAAAACAACUAACUGAGCUAACACCUGCUAGAUAAUUUGAUGCAUAGCUUAAUAUAUUACUCAGAGGCUGGACAGCCUGCAUGGCUAGAUGUAUUUAUUUCUACCAGCACCUCUAUUUGUGCUUAUUCGGUCAUCUUGGCAUGAGAGAAGGAUCACAAAUGGGAGUCUCCCAGGAAAGAAUUGCUCUUUCCAGAUGCACAUUGAUGGAGAGAGAUAGUUGCCCUAGCAAGACACACAGAUCAUAAGCAAGACACUAACUAA
Molecule: non-coding RNA, 1088 nt
Organism: Chrysemys picta bellii (western painted turtle)
Lineage: Eukaryota; Metazoa; Chordata; Testudines; Emydidae
Source: RefSeq, a predicted model, not a curated record